UAUUUUUAUAAUUAUACAAGCUGGUUUCCAGUAGACCGUUUACUGACACUUUACAAAACCUAAGAAUCAAUUAUAGUAUAUGCUACAAUUAAUCUGUCUGAACUGCAUAUGCUUCGGGAUCCUCCAGAUGGCAUUCUUCCUUUGUUUUACCAUGAUGUUUUCUGGUAGUUUUUAUCCCACAUUUGUGUCUGCGUAGCUUCUUUUGGGGCACCGCACAGCACCCUUUUUGUAAUAAUCAUCUUUUCGAAAGUGACAAUAAUGCUAUAAUUAAUGAAUGACGAACUCAUAUCAUCAGUCAAAUGUUACUAAUUAAAAUCUGGAAUAGGCAGUUCUAUGUGUAUGCAUAUAAUAAUUAAGGCCAAGAAGAUGUUCUAUUCAUAUUCUUGAAGAAAAUGGCCAUCAUAAGUUUAUUUUUCUGCCUUAAAUAAUACAUUUUCAGUUGAAGAAACCAAAUGCUUGAUUUCAGACAGUUAACACAGAUAGAAAUGGACAAACAGCGGGAAACUUGCCUACAUAUAUACACCGAUGACCAGAGAUCGUACUCUUUCCAUGACUAUUUUAUAACAGAUAUGAUCUGAUCAAGUUUUAUCUCAUAGAUUAUGUAUCAUGUUUACCUUUUCAUUUACAGUUAUAUCUGCAACUGUAGCACACAUAUCUUACUCUUCAUAACUAGCUCUUUAAAUGGCAUCCAUUAAAGGAGGUGUUUACAAGUGAUUCAAGCUCAGCAAGAAAGAACGAAGCAAUUAAAUGUCAAAAAAGUUAAUUCAAAUAGAUCAUGGAGUUUAUUGCAUUGUAAGCACUUACACACGCUACUUACAUUCUGAAAUCUAAUUACUGCAUAACACAACCAUCAUUAGCGAAACCUAACCAGUUAUUCAUCGCAAUCAAUUAUUACAACAACACUCAUAACAAUUAGUAUUGAUCUUCUAAACCCGAAAACAAAUUAAAUCGACAAACUCAUGGCAACCAAAAAAGAGGGGGAAAACAAACACAUGAAAUUGAAGAUAAUUGUACAACUGGAAGUAAAAGAAAAAUAAAAUAGUGUAGUCGGACCAGGAGCUCUUGAUUCCCCUUGCAUGGAUGCCUCCAUGGACAAUUAUUCAUAGCUUGAAAAGAUUUUUAACUUCAUCAAAUGGCAGCUUGAAUGGCCACACAUCAUCUCAUGGAAACCAUAGAUAAACCUAAACUCCCUUUCUUGAAGCAAAGAAACGAAGAUAAGUAACCCCACAAAGUUGAAAAGAAGAAGCAUGGUGUGCGAACAUAGCAAGAGCAAUAGUAUAUCUACUCUAGUUAGUAGAGAAAAAGAAAGAGAAGGCUCAACAGACAUAUUUAUAUAUUACAAGUAGGGCAAAGGGCAAGCUUUUAUCUCCGAGGCAGCUGUAAUGCGUGUUGUGGUGCACGCAUACUGUAGAGAGCCAAGCAAGAGGCUAAUGUGCGUUAUAUUCCCGCAUGCAACGUUUCCCUUUUAAUAUACAGUGCCGGCACGACUCCACAGGAAAAAAAAAAUCAAAAACAAAAAGGAAAGAAAGAGAUGGAUAGUGAAUUAAGGGGAAAAUAGGCAAAGCAUGGUGCCCUUAAAGCUAGGUCUCCUUUUC
This 1595-nucleotide long non-coding RNA is filed under the name Ricinus communis (castor bean). RNAcentral's name for it is "long non-coding RNA (RCOM_LNC000144)". Lineage: Eukaryota; Viridiplantae; Streptophyta; Magnoliopsida; Malpighiales; Euphorbiaceae. The record is from RNAcentral.